Molecule: long non-coding RNA, 171 nt
Organism: Vanessa tameamea
Lineage: Eukaryota; Metazoa; Arthropoda; Insecta; Lepidoptera; Nymphalidae
Exons: 3
Source: RefSeq, a predicted model, not a curated record
UGAAUCAUCGUCGGGGCUGGUGGGUGAUCCUCCUUGUGGGGUAGUAGGUGAUUCGCCUUGUGGUUGGGUUGGUGAUCCACCUUGUGGUUGGUUAGGUGAUCCGCCUUGUGGUUGGUUAGGUGAUCCGCCUUGUGGUUGGUUAGGUGAUUCGCCUUGUGGUUGGGUUGGUGA